Molecule: ribosomal RNA, 358 nt
Filed under: Eukaryota sp.
Lineage: Eukaryota
Description: SSU rRNA
Rfam family: Eukaryotic small subunit ribosomal RNA
Source: RNAcentral
GUCGUUAACGAACGAGACCUUAACCUGCUAAAUAGCCCGUAUUGCUUUGGCAGUACGCUGGCUUCUUAGAGGGACUAUUGACGUCUAGUCAAUGGAAGUUUGAGGCAAUAACAGGUCUGUGAUGCCCUUAGAUGUUCUGAGCCGCACGCGCGCUACACUGAUGAAGUCAACAAGUUUAUUUCAUCCUUGACCGGAAGGUCUGGGUAAUCUUUUGAAACUUCAUCGUGCUGGGGAUAGUUCAUUGCAAUUAUUGAACUUCAACGAGGAAUUCCUAGUAAGCACAAGUCAUCAGCUUGUGUUGAUUACGUCCCUGCCCUUUGUACACACCGCCCGUCGCUAUUACCGAUUGAAUGGAUCG